CCGGUACCACCAUGUGGGUGGGGUAUCGCUCAACGGAUAAAAGUUACGCCGGGGAUAACAGGCUAGUCGCUUCCAAGAGUUCACAUCGACGAAGCGGUUCGGCACCUCGAUGUCGGCUCGUCGCAUCCUGGGGGUGGAGCAUCUCCCAAGGGUAUGGCUGUUCGCCAUUUAAAGCGGUACGCGAGCUGGGUUCAGAACGUCGUGAGACAGUUCGGCCCCUAUCCGCCAUAAUUGUAGGAAAAUUGAGAGAAGUUGCCCCUAGUACGAGAGGACCGGGGUGAACGAACCUCUGGUGUAUCAGUUGUCGUGUCAACGGCAUUGCUGAGUAGCUAUGUUCGGUCUGGAUAACCGCUGAAAGCAUCUAAGCGGGAAGCCAACCUCAAGAAAAUUUUCCCUAUGAACCUCCCUGAAGACUACAGGGUUGAUAGGCCACAGGUAUAAGUACAGCGAUGUGCUCAGCCGAGUGGUACUAAUAGGUCAUUGAUGUUUUUGU
This 493-nucleotide ribosomal RNA is filed under the name Patescibacteria group bacterium. Its description in RNAcentral is "partial 23S ribosomal RNA". It matches the Rfam family "Bacterial large subunit ribosomal RNA", at positions 2420 to 2925 of the family's 2925-position model. The record is from RNAcentral.